CCGACCUUAGCUCAAAUGGAAGAGUAAAGGAUUGCGUAUCCUUUGGUUGCCGGUUUGAAUCCGGCAGGUCAUG
RNAcentral lists this transfer RNA (73 nucleotides) under Tetracentron sinense. Its description in RNAcentral is "tRNA-Arg". It matches the Rfam family "tRNA". Rfam says of the family: Transfer RNA (tRNA) molecules are approximately 80 nucleotides in length. Their secondary structure includes four short double-helical elements and three loops (D, anti-codon, and T loops). Lineage: Eukaryota; Viridiplantae; Streptophyta; Magnoliopsida; Trochodendrales; Trochodendraceae. The record is from RNAcentral.